GAUGAAGACGUAGCGAAAUGCGAUAAGUAAUGUGAAUUGCAGAAUUCAGUGAAUCAUCGAAUCUUUGAACGCACAUUGCGCCCCCUGGUAUUCCGGGGGGCAUGCCUGUUCGAGCGUCAUUUCACCACUCAAGCCUCGCUUGGUAUUGGGCAACGCGGUCCGCCGCGUGCCUCAAAUCGACCGGCUGGGUCUUCUGUCCCCUAAGCGUUGUGGAAACUAUUCGCUAAAGGGUGUUCCGGAGGCUACGCCGUAAAACAACCCCAUUUCUAAGGUUGACCUCGGAUCAGGUAGGGAUACCCGCUGAACUUAAGCAUAUCAAUAAGCGGAGGA
Molecule: unclassified non-coding RNA, 330 nt
Filed under: soil metagenome
Description: partial contains 5.8S ribosomal RNA, internal transcribed spacer 2, and large subunit ribosomal RNA
Rfam family: 5.8S ribosomal RNA (bases 1-119)
Source: RNAcentral